GACGAACGCUGGCGGCGUGCCUAACACAUGCAAGUCGAGCGGUAAGGCACCUUCGGGUGUACACGAGCGGCGAACGGGUGAGUAACACGUGAGUAAUCUGCCCUUCACUUCGGGAUAACCGCCGGAAACGGUGGCUAAUACCGGAUACGACGCGCUCUCGCAUGAGAUGUGCGUGGAAAGUCUUAUCGGUGGAGGAUGUGCUCGCGGCCUAUCAGCUAGUUGGGGGGUAACGGCCUACCAAGGCUUCGACGGGUAGCCGGCCUGAGAGGGUGACCGGCCACACUGGGACUGAGACACGGCCCAGACUCCUACGGGAGGCAGCAGUGGGGAAUAUUGGACAAUGGGCGAAAGCCUGAUCCAGCAACGCCGCGUGAGGGAUGACGGCCUGG
Molecule: ribosomal RNA, 389 nt
Filed under: uncultured bacterium
Lineage: Bacteria
Description: bacterial SSU rRNA
Rfam family: Bacterial small subunit ribosomal RNA
Source: RNAcentral